RNAcentral lists this unclassified non-coding RNA (339 nucleotides) under soil metagenome. Its description in RNAcentral is "partial contains 5.8S ribosomal RNA, internal transcribed spacer 2, and large subunit ribosomal RNA". The stretch from base 1 to 120 matches the Rfam family "5.8S ribosomal RNA", at positions 35 to 154 of the family's 154-position model. The record is from RNAcentral.
GAUGAAGAACGCAGCGAAAUGCGAUACGUAGUGUGAAUUGCAGAAUUCAGUGAAUCAUCGAAUCUUUGAACGCACAUUGCACCUCUCGGUAUUCCGGGAGGUAUGCCUGUUCGAGCGUCAUUUGUACCCUCAAGCUCUGCUUGGUGUUGGGUGUUUGUUCCGCCUCUGUGUGUGAACUCGCCUCAAAACAAUUGGCAGCCGGCGUACUUGUUUCGGAGCGCAGCACAUUUUGGGAUCCAGAUCAACGUACAGCGGCAUCCAAGAAGCCUUAUUUAACGCUCUUGACCUCGGAUCAGGUAGGGAUACCCGCUGAACUUAAGCAUAUCAAUAAGCGGAGGA